Molecule: ribosomal RNA, 582 nt
Filed under: Triticum aestivum (bread wheat)
Lineage: Eukaryota; Viridiplantae; Streptophyta; Magnoliopsida; Poales; Poaceae
Description: partial small subunit ribosomal RNA
Source: RNAcentral
AUGGCAUUGUUGCUUGUCAUUGUAAUUUCCGAAGCUGGUGAAGCUCUUGAUUCAUACAUUCGGGCGCAUCCAGAGGUGCCUUAUGCCACACAGGUGGCCCACGUCGAGGUCCUGAAACGUGUCUCAUCGAUUCUCAAGAACCGUCGUUUUUUUCCUACUGGAGAAUGCAUCAACAUAGGAAACAUCUGCCCCUAUGAUCAACAAUCGUCCAGGUUGUCCGGUGAAGAGUUGCCCAACAAAUAUGAUGGGUAUGCUACAGCUGAGAAGGCUGCCAGAAUGAAACAACCUAGAGGAUGGAAGCUCGAACAUGCAAGGAGAAGCUUCAUCCCAUGCUUGAAAUCAGUGUUAUCAUCAUCCAAGUUGGAAGCAAGGGCAUCUCCCAUAUAUCCCUUGAUAGAAAUCAAAAGCAUGAGAGAGACUGAGGAAAUUUGGAAUAAAUCAGCAACCGAAGGAUCCUCUUCAAUUCCAAAUAAAAAUCUUGGUUUGUUGGGAAGAGUUCUGCAAUUAACAAGUAGUCAUCAAUCCAGAAGGCUAUUCGGUACUGCUGCAUCGACGGUCUUGAAACUUUUAAAGCAUGCAUGA